RNAcentral lists this long non-coding RNA (373 nucleotides) under Elaeis guineensis (African oil palm). RNAcentral's name for it is "long non-coding RNA (EGUI_LNC038104)". The record is from RNAcentral. Lineage: Eukaryota; Viridiplantae; Streptophyta; Magnoliopsida; Arecales; Arecaceae.
AAGGAUGAUUUAUAUGGUAACUGUAUCCAAAUAGGUUCUUGAGUGUUUCUUUGCAUACAUUUGGCUUAUCUAGAUGUUUGAAUACCAUUGCUAGAUAGUCACUUCGAUUGGUACAGAAAUCUAUUUCUAUGCUACCGGCUUAGGUUCGAACCUAUGGGGUCAAACAUAUUAGAAGUUCCUCUCCGAUCAGAUGGCUGAUUUGAAGAGUUCCACUGGAAUGAGACUUUAUUAUUAAUGGAGGAUUAGUUAGUGAUUAGAUCACUAAUUAGCUUAAUUUGAUUGAGUAUUAAAGUCUGCAUCAAGUCUAAUUGAAUUGGAUUCAAUCAGAUUAGGUCCGAUUAGGUUAUGAGAUGACCUAAUCGGUAAGAGAAAA